This 75-nucleotide transfer RNA is filed under the name Klebsiella phage KP8. RNAcentral describes it as "tRNA-OTHER". Lineage: Duplodnaviria; Heunggongvirae; Uroviricota; Caudoviricetes; Schitoviridae. The record is from RNAcentral.
GGGCAGUAGGCGAUGUAGGGUUAUGCGCCACGACACAGGUCGUGAACAUCGGUUCGAGUCCGAUACUGUCCACCA